CAGAUGUUUUAACACCUGUGUGAACCCCCUCCUAUAUACGUUUUAUCAGAAACAGGUGUCUAAGCAUAUGACAAACCCAAUCCUUUAAAGGAACGCAUUGUAUUUUUUUUCAAGAAGCACAAGUUAAAACAGAUGUCCUAAAACCCUAGCAAACCACUCCUAAAUACACUGUCAGAAACCAGUGUAAAAGCACACGUUUAAAUCAUGUAAACAGGUGUCUUUUAACACCUAAGCAACCACUCCUUAAAUAUACUACAAGUGUUUAAACAUCUGUGUAACCC
RNAcentral lists this long non-coding RNA (281 nucleotides) under Mytilus galloprovincialis (Mediterranean mussel). Lineage: Eukaryota; Metazoa; Mollusca; Bivalvia; Mytilida; Mytilidae. The record is from RNAcentral.